AUACGUAGGUGGCGAGCGUUGUCCGGAAUUACUGGGUGUAAAGGGCGUGUAGGCGGGAAGUCAAGUCAGAUGUGAAAGCCCAGGGCUCAACCCUGGAUCUGCAUCUGAAACUGAUUUUCUUGAGUGCUGGAGAGGAAAGCGGUAUUCCUAGUGUAGCGGUGAAAUGCGUAGAUAUUAGGAGGAACACCAGUGGCGAAGGCGGCUUUCUGGACAGUAACUGACGCUGAGGCGCGAAAGCGUGGGGAGCAAACAGGAUUAGAUACCCUGGUAGUCCACGCUGUAAACGAUGGAUACUAGGUGUAGGAGGUAUCGACCCCUUCUGUGCCGCAGUUAACGCAAUAAGUAUCCCACCUGGGGAGUACGGCCGCAAGGUUGAA
RNAcentral lists this ribosomal RNA (377 nucleotides) under uncultured bacterium. RNAcentral describes it as "bacterial SSU rRNA". It matches the Rfam family "Bacterial small subunit ribosomal RNA", at positions 523 to 898 of the family's 1533-position model. The record is from RNAcentral.